CAUUUUAUUAAUUUACGUUAUUUAAAGUAUUGCUAUAGUUUUAAGUUAAUUGGUUUAUAAUCGAAUUAAUAAUUUUAUUUCGUUGACAUUAAGAAGCUCAUUAAUUAAUUUCUACUAACUUAUCUUUUAUUUAGUUUUUAGCCAAAUCACCAAUUUAACUCAUUUGGCUAGAUUUUUAAUUCCGAUUGGCCACGAUAAAAAUUCAUACGGUUAUUUUC
RNAcentral lists this long non-coding RNA (218 nucleotides) under Solanum tuberosum (potato). RNAcentral describes it as "long non-coding RNA (STUB_LNC001267)". The record is from RNAcentral. Lineage: Eukaryota; Viridiplantae; Streptophyta; Magnoliopsida; Solanales; Solanaceae.